UGGAGAUGCAGCCCUGUUGGAAU
This 23-nucleotide microRNA is filed under the name Chrysemys picta bellii (western painted turtle). RNAcentral's name for it is "Cpi-Mir-139_3p* (star (passenger))". The record is from RNAcentral. Lineage: Eukaryota; Metazoa; Chordata; Testudines; Emydidae. RNAcentral also lists the same sequence under 2 other names.